This is a long non-coding RNA of Megalopta genalis, 456 nucleotides long. RefSeq lists it as uncharacterized. Lineage: Eukaryota; Metazoa; Arthropoda; Insecta; Hymenoptera; Halictidae. The record is from RefSeq and is a predicted model, not a curated record.
AGAAAUCUUUGCGCGUUAGUCGACAAACUUCCGGCGCGGUGGAGGCAUUCGGGCAUGCAGCAAAGUUAUUUGUAAAACGGUUAAUUUGGACUGCAAAGAGGCGAAUAUGAUAUAUAAAAUGAUUUAUUUAAAGAAGAAAACUUGCAACAAGGGAAGGUCUCCAGGUGAUAUUCGCCGAAUUUAAUGAAACAUAAAAAAGUAUUCAAAUAAAAUGACAUAUUUAUUUACUGCAAGUAUAUAAUGUUUAUCAUGGAAAUUCAAUGUUCAUAUUUAUUAAUUUUAAUUUAGAAGUUUCCCAACAUACACAUCUCAUUGUUGAAACGUGAGAAUCUUACAUAGUAAUUAUUGGUUAGAAGUAAUAAAUUAUGACUAUAUCUAAAAUUAUUUUAUAUUUGAUCAAUAUUAACUGUUAAUUUGAACACGCGUUUAAAUGGUGGAAAAUAAACCAGUUUCAAU